AAAGCCCAACUGCAAGAAAAGGAACUUGAGGCAAUGAUAGCAUCUCCUUAGUGACAAUGCCAGCACGUCUCCGAAGAUAUAAGAUUGAGAAAUAAACAACAACAUAUCUGCAUUAUGGAAACAGAAGAUUACAGGUUAGACUGAACGAAGAGGAGAACUAGAUGAGAAGUGACUCAGAACCUUACAUGGUGAAAGUGAUACUUGCUCUAACUGAAACAAGACUCGAUUCUCACAAAGAUAAAGACACAUGACGCCCCAGUAAAAAGGAUCAAAUGCAUCAUUGUGGAGGGCAAUAGAAGUUGAAGAAGACCUAGGAGAACGUGGGAGGAACAUAUUAAAAGUGACAUGCAUGAACUUCACCUCUCCAAGGACCUGACCAAGGAUAGGGGCAGUUGGCGGCGCGUUAUCUACGUCUUAGAUUACUAAAUCCAUCCCUUUUACCCAUUUGUUCAUUGCCUUUGUUUAUCAUCUUUACCUCAUUCUUUACUUUUAUCUUUAUUUUUAGUUAUUUGUACGUGAUCUAUUUAUUCUUUUUGUAAGUUGUAGGUUUCGGUUAGUGAAAUUUUACUUUAUUGUUUUGCUUUAUUCAAAUAAUCUUCCUUUUUAUUAGAUUAUUAAUGUAACUUUUAAACAUCUAUUAUAUUUAAUCAAGUACG
This is a long non-coding RNA of Amaranthus tricolor (Joseph's coat), 656 nucleotides long. RefSeq lists it as uncharacterized. NCBI's taxonomy places the organism in Eukaryota, Viridiplantae, Streptophyta, Magnoliopsida, Caryophyllales, Amaranthaceae. The record is from RefSeq and is a predicted model, not a curated record. The transcript is spliced from 3 exons.